Molecule: transfer RNA, 92 nt
Filed under: Photobacterium iliopiscarium
Lineage: Bacteria; Pseudomonadati; Pseudomonadota; Gammaproteobacteria; Vibrionales; Vibrionaceae
Description: tRNA-Asn
Rfam family: tRNA
About the family: Transfer RNA (tRNA) molecules are approximately 80 nucleotides in length.
Source: RNAcentral
UUCCCUUUUAGCUCAGUUGGUUCCUUUUUAUUAGAAGCUUGGCGGACUGUUAAUUCGUGUAUCACUGGUUCAAGUCCAGUAGAGUGAAGCCA